GUGAGUAGGACAAUUCAUAUUGAAAAUAUUGUCUUUUAUAUAACUGUUCUAUUCACAG
Caenorhabditis elegans is the source of this 58-nucleotide microRNA precursor. The record is from Ensembl. NCBI's taxonomy places the organism in Eukaryota, Metazoa, Nematoda, Chromadorea, Rhabditida, Rhabditidae.